RNAcentral lists this long non-coding RNA (523 nucleotides) under Capra hircus (goat). RNAcentral's name for it is "lncRNA (ENSCHIG00010007510.1)". The record is from RNAcentral. Lineage: Eukaryota; Metazoa; Chordata; Mammalia; Artiodactyla; Bovidae.
GCGGAGCCUCACCACGGGUUCCAGGUUCACUCGCAGGAUUUGGCGCGCUCUACGCCGUGCCGCCGCCAGGCUGCGCUCGCUCCACACGUCGCCGCCGACGCGGGGUUCCGGGUCCGCGGGCUUGACCGGGCAGCUCUCCUCGGGGACCGGCGGCGGGGGCGGCUCCGCGGCGCCGGCCGCUGCUGGCACCUCCCGCCCGGCGCGUCUCUCGCUACUUUUCUCGCCUCCGCCGCCGCUGCCCCUCCCCCUCCGAGGGCGGAGGACGCGGGUGAAGAUCCUGCCGCCCGGUACAAGAUGGCGGCCGGCGCCCACCCCUGGGCUUUGUCAUUGGACGGCGCCUCGCCCCCCUGGUUUCUCUUUCUUCUCCUCUCUUGCCUCCUUUCGCCCUCUGCCUUUCUUUAAAUGUGCCCGCCUUUGGCCCCUCCUACUGCAGCCCCGACUCCACCCAUUGGGUGCUCUCAGAAGAGGGCGGGGACUGAUGGGGGAGAGGCCAGUUCCUGGAAGAUGGUGCUGGGGUGGGUGA